RNAcentral lists this ribosomal RNA (126 nucleotides) under Tetranychus ludeni (bean spider mite). RNAcentral's name for it is "partial 5.8S ribosomal RNA". It matches the Rfam family "5.8S ribosomal RNA", at positions 32 to 151 of the family's 154-position model. From Rfam's summary of the family: 5.8S ribosomal RNA (5.8S rRNA) is a component of the large subunit of the eukaryotic ribosome. It is transcribed by RNA polymerase I as part of the 45S precursor that also contains 18S and 28S rRNA. Lineage: Eukaryota; Metazoa; Arthropoda; Arachnida; Trombidiformes; Tetranychidae. The record is from RNAcentral.
UACCAAUCGAUGAAGAACGUAGCUAGCUACGAUAAUCGGUGCGAAUUGCAGGACACGCCGAGCACUUGAGCUUCUAACGCACAUUGCGGCUUUCGGGUCUUUUCCGAGGUCACAUCUGUCUGAGAG